CUUGGCCUCUGCUGGAAGCCGGGUACUUGACUGCAGGCACUGCUGCUCUGUUCCAGAUUGGCAGUUCCUUGGUCUUGUCCUUGUCUCCAGUUCCUUCCUAAG
Molecule: microRNA precursor, 102 nt
Organism: Gallus gallus (chicken)
Lineage: Eukaryota; Metazoa; Chordata; Aves; Galliformes; Phasianidae
Source: Ensembl